Molecule: long non-coding RNA, 1320 nt
Organism: Salmo salar (Atlantic salmon)
Lineage: Eukaryota; Metazoa; Chordata; Actinopteri; Salmoniformes; Salmonidae
Source: RefSeq, a predicted model, not a curated record
ACACGCUUCGCUCAGCCAGCAGCAGAUGCCGUCACGUGACCCACUGCACAGUUGUUCAACCCUAAAUAACUGAACCAGCCACUCACAACAGGCCUAGCAGAUCAGAUGGUUUUACGCACUCUGCUCUUGUGUACGUGCUUGCUCCCUCUCCCCCGGGAACGCGCAGUCAGACAGAAAGAACCCCAUACAGAAUCAGUCGAUAUAAUCGAGAGCAAUCAUCAGAAAACACGCGAUAUGAAGUGGGGCGUCGCCUGACCCACUAGUUUGUCAGAAGGUUCAAAUGAGGCAGUUUCAUAUCGUAAUUUGGCUCCCGAGUGGCGCAGCGGUCUAAGGCACUGUAUCUCAGUGCAUGAGACGUCACAACAGACACCCUGGUUCGAUUCCAGGCUGUAUCGCAACCGGCCGUGAUUGGGAGUCCCAAAUAAUAGUUUGUUCUUAACUGACUUGCCUUGUUAAGUAAAGGUUAAUUUAAAAAAAUGAAAGUAUUAUGUUGGUGGCGGUAAUGAUCAUUUGUAUUGUGCUAAAACUAGAAGAUCUUCUGACGUCCUUCUUUUCCCCUGUUCAAAGAUGCCAUCUUUUCGCAGAAAAAGAGCUACGCUGGUUUACAGAGACCUGACUAGAGGCGUGACAGCACACCCCUGCCUUUAACUUGGAUCGGUCUAGGGAGUACUCGGAGAACAGAGCCGGUUCCCUCUGCAGCAGAAGUUGUGCCCAGCUGCAGUGAUGCACCUCCUCCACCAGCAUAAAAAAAAAGAAAGGCAGAGGAUGUUGAGGCCUGGAAGGGGUUGAGGGAGCUACUCCACACUACAAAUCAGCCGGCUAGACAAUCUAGACCCUCUCUUUCUAAAAUGAUCCGCUGAAAUUGUUGCAACCCCUAUUACUAGCCUGUUCAACCUCUCUUUCUUAUCGUCUGAGAUCCCCAAAGAUUAGAAAGCUGCCGCGGUCAUCCCCCUCUUCAAAGGGGGAGACACUCUAGACCCAAACUGCUACAGACCUAUAUCUAUCCUACCCUGCCUUUCUAAGGUCUUCGAAAGCCAAGUUAACAAACAGAUCACCUACCAUUUUGAAUCCCACCGUACCUUCUCUGCUAUGCAAUCUGGUUUCCGAGCUGGUCAUGGAUGCACCUCAGCCACGCUCAAGGUCCUGAAUGUUAUCAUAACCGCCAUAGAUAAGAGAUAAUACUGUGCAGCCUUAUUCAUCGACCUGGCCAAGGCUUUCGACUCUGUCAAUCACCACAUUCUUAUCGGCAGACUCAAAAGCCUUGGUUUCUAAAAUGACUGCCUCGCCUGGUUCACCAACUACUUCUCAGACAGAAUUCAG